AUCACUCUCAAAGGGUCUGUUGUUUGUAUUGUACUUAUAUUGCCUAAUGAACCCCUCUUGACUUCCUGAACAUACAAGCCAGAAGGAAGAUAUGAACUGAAUGGGACUGGGAAGAAAGGGCAUUUGGAGAGAGAGCCACAUCACCACACCUGUUAUCCCCAAAGGGUAACUUACCAGCAAAGGAGGUAGGAAGCUUCCUCUUUAGUCUCUUAGACUAUGAACAGACAUCACAUUUGUUCCUGGACAAGCUGUACAUAUGUUUGUCAUAGAACAGAAAUAUCUCAGGAUUGGUGUGUACGUGCAUCACCCUUCUAAUGAGGGUUUAGUGAGCUUGAAUACAUUGCUUCUUUUAUUCCAUUGAUUCAAUGAUGCAAUCGAGGUAUAACUAUUCAGACACACUUUGUGAUGUCCUGGGAUAAACUGAUAGAACUUUUUAUCCCAUGAACCUUUUUAGGAUUUAUCCGAGGUUAAUGGUAAUGCAUGUUUGAACAACUGUACUUUUGUCCUGGGAUAAAAUGGCUUAAUCUGGGCCAAUGUAACAUCUGUUUUGGAUUUUCAAAGCAUCUGGGUAAAAGAUUCUUACUGGAAGCAUCUACGCAUACAUUUGAUCUGGAAUCAGUUUACUUGCAAGUAAACUACCUGUGAGUAAAUUCUUCUGGGCAGGCAU
This is a long non-coding RNA of Gavialis gangeticus (Gharial), 667 nucleotides long. RefSeq lists it as uncharacterized. The transcript is spliced from 3 exons. Lineage: Eukaryota; Metazoa; Chordata; Crocodylia; Gavialidae. The record is from RefSeq and is a predicted model, not a curated record.